This 670-nucleotide long non-coding RNA is filed under the name Dunaliella salina. RNAcentral describes it as "long non-coding RNA (DSAL_LNC000411)". The record is from RNAcentral. Lineage: Eukaryota; Viridiplantae; Chlorophyta; Chlorophyceae; Chlamydomonadales; Dunaliellaceae.
AGGUAAGUAUCUCACCUUUUGCUGGUCCACAUUGUUCACCCCUUGGGAGAGAGUGCAACCAUCCUGAAGAGCACUGACCAUCGAUUUUCUGGAUCCCACUGCCAUAAUUAACAGUUAUCCCACCCCCUGAGCUUUUUGACAUGCAUUGGCAUGUUUCUGCGCACCAUCCGCACCCCAGCGUUGACAAGCAUCGGUCACAAGUGUUUGCUGCAAAACACAACAGAGACAAGCUAGAGUGAUGAGAAAUGAAAUGCCCAGAGAUUGUUAGGGUGGUGGCUUCAAAACCAGUGCACUAGGCUUCUGUGUGUGUGUGUGUGUGUGUGUGUGUGUGUGUGUGUGUGNGUGUGUGUGUGUGUGUGUGUGUGUGUGUGUGUGUGUGUGUGUGUGUGUGUGUGUGUGUGUGUGUGUGUGUGUGUGCGUGCGCGCGUGCGCACAUGUGUGCAUCAAAUCUUUUAUGGGUGUUGCCUUUAAGUAGGCCCUACAUACAAUAAAAUGUCUGAAGUCCAUCCCUUGUUGAAAACAAAAAUGACUUGCAUAGCCUACACCUACAUACCUUCACAUUUUUAAGAUACUCUUGAUAUACAGACGCUGUGCCAGCUAGAGAGAGCGAUCAGCUAAUGCAUGCAGAUUGCUUGACAUCUUACCUCUGCGGCAUCCAUCCGGGCAAUCC